GCAUGUAGGAGCUACCAUGCAGUCGAGCGGUAGCACAGAGAGCUUGCUCUCGGGUGACGAGCGGCGGACGGGUGAGUAAUGUCUGGGAAACUGCCUGAUGGAGGGGGAUAACUACUGGAAACGGUAGCUAAUACCGCAUAACGUCGCAAGACCAAAGUGGGGGACCUUCGGGCCUCAUGCCAUCAGAUGUGCCCAGAUGGGAUUAGCUAGUAGGUGGGGUAACGGCUCACCUAGGCGACGAUCCCUAGCUGGUCUGAGAGGAUGACCAGCCACACUGGAACUGAGACACGGUCCAGACUCCUACGGGAGGCAGCAGUGGGGAAUAUUGCACAAUGGGCGCAAGCCUGAUGCAGCCAUGCCGCGUGUAUGAAGAAGGCCUUCGGGUUGUAAAGUACUUUCAGCGGGGAGGAAGGCGAUAAGGUUAAUAACCUUGUCGAUUGACGUUACCCGCAGAAGAAGCACCGGCUAACUCCGUGCCAGCAGCCGCGGUAAUACGGAGGGUGCAAGCGUUAAUCGGAAUUACUGGGCGUAAAGCGCACGCAGGCGGUCUGUCAAGUCGGAUGUGAAAUCCCCGGGCUCAACCUGGGAACUGCAUUCGAAACUGGCAGGCUAGAGUCUUGUAGAGGGGGGUAGAAUUCCAGGUGUAGCGGUGAAAUGCGUAGAGAUCUGGAGGAAUACCGGUGGCGAAGGCGGCCCCCUGGACAAAGACUGACGCUCAGGUGCGAAAGCGUGGGGAGCAAACAGGAUUAGAUACCCUGGUAGUCCACGCCGUAAACGAUGUCGAUUUGGAGGUUGUGCCCUUGAGGCGUGGCUUCCGGAGCUAACGCGUUAAAUCGACCGCCUGGGGAGUACGGCCGCAAGGUUAAAACUCAAAUGAAUUGACGGGGGCCCGCACAAGCGGUGGAGCAUGUGGUUUAAUUCGAUGCAACGCGAAGAACCUUACCUGGUCUUGACAUCCACAGAACUUGCCAGAGAUGGCCUUGGUGCCUUCGGGAACUGUGAGACAGGUGCUUGCAUGGCUGUCGUCAGCUCGUGUUGUGAAAUGUUUGGGGUUAAGUCCCGCAACGAGCGCAACCCUUAUCCCUUUGUUGCCAGCGGGUUAGGCCGGGAAACUCAAAGGAGACUGC
RNAcentral lists this ribosomal RNA (1127 nucleotides) under Klebsiella pneumoniae. RNAcentral's name for it is "bacterial SSU rRNA". It matches the Rfam family "Bacterial small subunit ribosomal RNA", at positions 42 to 1152 of the family's 1533-position model. Lineage: Bacteria; Pseudomonadati; Pseudomonadota; Gammaproteobacteria; Enterobacterales; Enterobacteriaceae. The record is from RNAcentral.